Molecule: ribosomal RNA, 378 nt
Filed under: uncultured eukaryote
Lineage: Eukaryota
Description: partial 18S ribosomal RNA
Rfam family: Eukaryotic small subunit ribosomal RNA
Source: RNAcentral
CAAUAGCGUAUAUUAAAGUUGUUGCGGUUAAAAAGCUCGUAGUUGGAUUUCUGCUGAGAACGACCGGUCCGCCCAUUGGGUGUGUAUCUGGCUCUUUCUUGGCAUCUUCUUGGUGAACGUUACUGCACUUGACUGUGUGGAGCGCUACCCAGGACUUUUACUUUGAGAAAAUUAGAGUGUUCCACGCAGGCGCGUGCCUUGAAUACUGCAGCAUGGGAUAUUGGAAGGCCGAUUGAGCUUUCUUGUUGGUUCUCGGUUUGAUCGGAAUGAUUAAUAGGGAUAGUUGGGGGCAUUCGUAUUCAACUGUCAGAGGUGAAAUUCUUGGAUUUGUUGAAGACGGACUACUGCGAAAGCAUCUGCCAUGGAUGUUCUCAUUGA